GGGUUUGUGGCGCAAUGGCAGCGCAUUUGACUCCAGAUCAAAAGGUUUGGCGUUCGACUACGGGUCAAGGGGGAGGCGACAACAAAAAAAGCAGCCGGGAUUCGAUCCCC
This 110-nucleotide transfer RNA is filed under the name Gregarina niphandrodes. It matches the Rfam family "tRNA", at positions 1 to 61 of the family's 71-position model. Rfam says of the family: Transfer RNA (tRNA) molecules are approximately 80 nucleotides in length. Their secondary structure includes four short double-helical elements and three loops (D, anti-codon, and T loops). The record is from Rfam by way of RNAcentral. Lineage: Eukaryota; Apicomplexa; Conoidasida; Eugregarinorida; Gregarinidae.